UUCCUUCCUGCACCCGAGCCGUGCUGUGCUGUGCUGUGCCUCCUUUUAAAAUGGCUCCUCCGCUUUCGGCCAGGUGUCCCCCAAUCACCCUGAUUCGGGAGCCGAAAGGGCUGCUCUCCGUCGCCGGCUGGUGGGUGGGGGUGGUAUACCCAGUCCUUUACAGUACCCCGGGCCCGUCCAGGCCGAGGUCUCCGUGGCGGGAUGCCACAACACACACAAACACACACACACACACACACACACACACACACACACACACACACACACACACACACACACACACACACACACACACACACACACACACACACACACACACACAC
This is a long non-coding RNA of Gadus macrocephalus (Pacific cod), 323 nucleotides long. RefSeq lists it as uncharacterized. Lineage: Eukaryota; Metazoa; Chordata; Actinopteri; Gadiformes; Gadidae. The record is from RefSeq and is a predicted model, not a curated record. The transcript has 2 exons.